This is a small nuclear RNA of Octodon degus (degu), 109 nucleotides long. NCBI's taxonomy places the organism in Eukaryota, Metazoa, Chordata, Mammalia, Rodentia, Octodontidae. The record is from Ensembl.
UUGGUAAGAUUUUGGCAGCAUAUAUACAUAGUUUGGAACCAUACAGAGAAGAUUAGCAUGGCCCCUGUGCAACAAUGACAUGCAAAUUUGUGAAGUAUUCCAUAUUUUU